CGGGGCCGGGGCGGGUCCCGCUGCCUCCGAGCGGCGCCGGGCGGGCGGCAGCCGGGACGCCGCGGCAGGGGAGCAGGAUGGCGCUGGUCCCUGGCACUGUGCUCUGGGCGCUGGCCCCACUCCUGGCCCUGACUGGCACUGACCCCGACCGGGGCUGGGACACCCGUGGGGCCCCCACUGGCUCUGCGGUGACAGUGGCCACGGCUUCAGCCACACCACAGGUCCCCAAAAAUGUGGCGCCGGACACGAUGGUGCUGGUCUGUGUCCUCACCGCCGCCUUCGUGGCCGUGGCCAUCAUGGUCGUGUUCUGCUUCCACUGCGGGAGGCGCUGUUGGGGGCGAGCAGCCCGGGCAGCCGGGGCUGCAGACGGAGGAGCAGCAGAAGCAGCAGGAGCAGCAGGAGCAGCAGCGCUGCCUCCGGGGGACCCGAAGACCCCCAGCGCCUGAGGACGCCCCGAGCCUCCCCGCGUGUGUCCGGGGCCGUGCGGGAAUAAAGCGCCCGCCCGCG
This is a long non-coding RNA of Cygnus olor (mute swan), 507 nucleotides long. RefSeq lists it as uncharacterized. Lineage: Eukaryota; Metazoa; Chordata; Aves; Anseriformes; Anatidae. The record is from RefSeq and is a predicted model, not a curated record. The transcript is spliced from 4 exons.